AGCCGAGAAGACGAGACCACCAGAAAAUGCCGGAGAGCCCAGACAGAGUGAAGACUUGCCAGCCCUGCCUGCUGUGUACCUGAACAAGAUGCUUUCAAGAGGGGAUGCCCAACAGGGAAGGAAUGAAUCCAGACAAUCACAGAUUUUCUUCAAAGAUGGUUUCUCACCUUGACGACACUCCUCAAGAAAG
Molecule: long non-coding RNA, 190 nt
Organism: Talpa occidentalis (Iberian mole)
Lineage: Eukaryota; Metazoa; Chordata; Mammalia; Eulipotyphla; Talpidae
Exons: 3
Source: RefSeq, a predicted model, not a curated record